Molecule: unclassified non-coding RNA, 1180 nt
Filed under: Hevea brasiliensis (rubber tree)
Lineage: Eukaryota; Viridiplantae; Streptophyta; Magnoliopsida; Malpighiales; Euphorbiaceae
Source: RNAcentral
CCAAAUCCUAAUAGGAUUAUAACAGGUUCGUUCUUCUUCUUUUAAUUCCCUCUAUAACAACAUUACUUGGACAAUUUUAUAAUAUUCGGCUAAAGCAUAGAAUCCCCAGCCCCGUUCAUGGCCGGAAGAAUUUUACAUUCCGGCUGUGGUAGCAGUAGCGACAGCGGCAAUGAGAGAGACUUCAUGAAACUAUACAGAAGAGACUCUUCUUUUAUUGAACCAUUGAUUACUGGUCUUGAUUCUUUAAAGCAUGAUAUGGGAGAUGUACUUUUUGGCUCUGAUGAUGCCAGAGACAUGAAAGAAAUACAGUACAAGGAAGAUGUCCUAGAGAGUUAUGCAAGAGAAAGAGAAAUCAAGAAUUUAAGGAGGAAAAAGAAGGGUUGUUCUUCCAUCAGAAAAUGUGUCGAGUUCUUCAAGGUUAUUUUCUGUUUUAAAUUAUAGUUUUAGAUUGAAUUUUCUUUUCUUUUUUCCCUUUACUAACAAUGACUGAGUUAGUGAGUUAGGCUUUGUCUAUGAUCGUUACUGGUGUAAUUCUAUUCAGGUUUGGUGAUUCUUACACAUCUGUUUCACAAGGCUUUUUGGGUUUUUUUGAACUAGUUUUACAAGAUUAGGAAGGAAUCAUAUUUACCUUUAAAACUAGGAGCAGUAUGCAUGUUUGUUUUUGAUACCCAGUUACUGCAUCUGCUAGAUACAGUGUUAAGCAGACUGAUUAAAGCACCAUACCUUUUGGGAACUUGUGCCAUUAAAUUUUGAAGGUAGUGAUUGAUAUUCUGUAUCCAAAGUGGCCAGGGAUCUCCAUAGCUGGUCUGUAAAGGCAACGAAAGCACUUUCAAUUGCUUGCCUAAAGCGAUUAUUGGUAACAAAUACAGGUUCCUGCAACAUUAUAAACUCUGGCUUUGGACAAAGAACAGGUCACAUCAGCCACAUUAAAUUUCUGUAAUUGCUUAAGGCUAAAGCCUGGUGAUCUCUUUGCAGCCCACAAUAACUUAGCACUAUUGCUCAAUCUUCUGCUUGUUUUGUUGUAUUGCCUGAAAAAAUAGUCUACAAGCUUGAGCACAAAUCAUUGCCUCCUAAAUUCUUCCUGCCGAGAAAGAUGUUUAUCACUCACACUCACGCAGAUAUUGAAUUGUAAUUAUAGUUUCUUCCUGGGAAGAAUUGCAACAUAAAGUUUUUAGUUGAU